AAUAGAUACCCUGGUAGUCCACGCCGUAAACUAUGGAUGCUAGCUGUUAGAAGUAUCGACCCUUCUAGUAGCGAAGCUAACGCGUUAAGCAUCCCACCUGUGGAGUACGGUCGCAAGACUAAAACAUAAAGGAAUUGACGGGGACCCGCACAAGCGGUGGAGCGUGUUGUUUAAUUCGAUGGUAAGCGAAGAACCUUACCCAGGCUUGACAUCCUACUAAGGCUUCCGAAAGGAAACUGUGCCUUCGGGAAAGUAGUGACAGGUGUUGCAUGGCCGUCGUCAGCUCGUGUCGUGAGAUGUUUGGUUAAGUCCAUCAACGAGCGCAACCCUUGUAGUUAGUUGAAUUUUUCUAGCUUAGACUGCCCUGGUAACAGGGAGGAAGGGGGGGAUGAUGUCAGGUCAGUAUUACCCUUACGUCUGGGGCUACAAACACGCUACAAUGGCCAGUACAAAGGGCAGCCAACCCGCGAGGGGGAGCAAAUCCCAUCAAAGCUGGUCUCAGUUCGGAUAGCAGGCUGAAACCUGCCUGCUUGAAGCUGGAAUCGCUAAC
This 550-nucleotide ribosomal RNA is filed under the name uncultured bacterium. RNAcentral's name for it is "bacterial SSU rRNA". It matches the Rfam family "Bacterial small subunit ribosomal RNA", at positions 777 to 1339 of the family's 1533-position model. The record is from RNAcentral.